RNA transcript from Homarus americanus (American lobster), 967 nucleotides. It is a transcript of the gene named keratin-associated protein 5-4-like, with no coding region annotated. Lineage: Eukaryota; Metazoa; Arthropoda; Malacostraca; Decapoda; Nephropidae. The transcript has 5 exons. The record is from RefSeq and is a predicted model, not a curated record.
AUUCCAAUGAUAUUUUAGAUAGUGAUCACAAAAUGGCCUCUCCUCUCACUCCCUCCCUCACCACACUCUCCCUCCAUCCAUCCUUCACCCACCACACCCUCCCUACUUCACUACACUCUCCCUCCCUCCCAAGGCCACCUGACACUGGGUGUUCAUCUCUACCUUCAGCAGCUGUCAAGGUGAGAAUGAAGGUGGCGACUUUUGUGCUGGCGGCUGUGGCGGCUGUUACCGUGGCUCAGAAAACACGUGGCGGCUUUGGCGGGGGCUUCAUCUCUGCGGGCAUAGGAGGGGGUGGCGGCGGCGGCUGUAACGGCGGCUACGGGUGUGGUGGCGGUGGCGGUGGCGGUGGCGGCGGGGGCGGCUGCAGGUACUGGUGUAGGACCCCUUAUAAUCAGUACUACUGCUGUGAGAAUGGCGGCUCCCACCCUGGCAACCGACCCAUUGUGAAGCCUGGCAGAUGCCCUCCAGUCAGGCCUCAGUGCCCCCCUACUCGCUUCGCCGGGAGACCAAAUCAGUGUAGCAGCGAUUCCUCCUGCCCGGGCUCCCAGAAGUGCUGUUAUGACACCUGCCUCAACCAUCACACCUGCAAGUCUCCCGGCUACCACUAGUAUACCACCACACCUGCACCAGUACUGCCUCUCAACCACCACACCUGCAAGUCUCCCGGCUACCACUAGUAUACCACCACACCUGCACCAGUACUGCCUCUCAACCACCACACCUGCAAGUCUCCCGGCUACCACUAGUAUACCACCACACCUGCACCAGUACUGCCUCUCAACCACCACACCUGCAAGUCUCCCAUCUGCCACAACACUGUCUUGCUCCUCCAAUUCAAUUUAAUUCCUUACGUACAAGUGUCACACCACCCGCCUAUCAUAACAUAUACUGUUAAGUCAGGAUAUAUGUUAAGUGAAUGCUUAUAGAUUAUGUUUUCUUGAACUAUAAUAAAAGUCUUUAAAAAAUC